UUCAUCACUAAUAAUAUAAUAUAUUAAUAAUAUUAUAAAAAUGGUGUGCACUUUUUCCAUAUAAGGACAUUGUAAUUUGUUAAUGUAAUAAAUAUUUAUCAUAAGAUCCAUUACUUAAGUUUAUUCAAAUUAGUUAUUUUCGGAUUUCUAACAUAAAAUAAAUGUUUUGGAUUUGAUAAAUCAUUGACAGAUAUAAUUAUAUAAUGCGCUUAAAUUUCUUUUAUAAGGAAUUUUACAAUUAAAUAAAAUAAAAAUAAAUUGUAUGCGCUAUUAUGAUUAACAAUGCAAUAGAUUCAGGAUACCUUCGGGACCCGUCUUGAAACACGGACCAAGGAGUCUAACAUAUGUGCAAGUCAUUGGGUAUUUUUAAUAAAACCCAAUGGCGUAAUUAACUUAACUGAUAUAUAAAAUGGGAUGAGUUUAUAUUUUGUUAUGAAAUAUGAAUGCAAUCCCGGGGCGUUCUAUGUAGUUAUGCAUAGUGAUAUUUAUAUUAUUUAUGCCUCUAACUAGAGC
RNAcentral lists this ribosomal RNA (513 nucleotides) under Philhelius citrofasciatus. RNAcentral describes it as "eukaryotic LSU rRNA". Lineage: Eukaryota; Metazoa; Arthropoda; Insecta; Diptera; Syrphidae. The record is from RNAcentral.